ACAGAUGGCAUUACCACGAACGGGAGAUUGUGCGACUGAACCUCCGCGCGGAGGCGUUGAAGAUGAUAGUCAUAGCAGCCGCAGGACCCUGAUGCACUCAAGAGUCCUCACGGUCACAAGCAGACUGAUAUAGUGCGUGAUUGAGACUGGGCUUAACAUCUGGCCCAUAUAAAAGAUUUAGUUUCAUUAUAGCCCACUCAAUCGCCCUCAUCUUCUAUCUGACAAGACUGCCUCCCUUCCCAGUAAAGCUAGGGUUUAAGGUUUAAGCCACCCUCUUCUCUCUGGAUUUCUUUCCGUUUCGAAAUUCUCUGCUUCAGUGGUUGAAUCUCACAAUUCAUUCUUUAAUAUUUAAGCUUAAAUCUGAGCUCAAUGCCUAGAAAAUCUAAAUCUGGCAAGGUACUUGAAAAAACGCAAGAAAUUGCUCCUGUAGAAGAUGAAAAGCCUUCUUCGAAGUCAAAAAAAGGAAGUAAAGAGAUUGAUGAAAAGCCUUCUUCGAAGUCUAAAAAAGUCAGUCAUGAGAUUGAUGAAAUUUUCGCUGGUAAAAAAAGGAAGAAACCUGAAGAAAAAAAAUCCCAGAAGUCAAAUAAAGAUGAAUCUGGUGAAACAAAAUUGGUGAAAAGGAAGAAAGAAAAUAAGAGUAAAGGAGUUGCAGAGGGUGGUUUCGCAGAUGCUCCUUCUCGGCCUAAGAAGAAAACUGAAGAUGGGUUUACUAUCUACACUGAAGAGGAGUUGGGUAUCAAUAAUUCUGAUGCUGGAAACACUCCGCUUUGUCCAUUUGAUUGUUCCUGUUGCUUUUAGUGGUACUUGCAGAUGGGUAUGUUCUCAUUUGAAUUUUUGUUGUUCUCUUUUGCGAUUUUUCAUUUGUCAUAUGUAGACUAUAAAUUAAACAUGAUUCAUCAGUGUUAAUUUCCCCCAUUUUUGAUAAUGAAGUUGUUAGACAUAGAGUAUGUAUUAUUAAAAGUGUUGAAGAGGAUUUUGGUGCAUUUGGAUGUGAAUAACUCUGUAAGUUACAGUAAAUCAUUCGACAUAGAAAUCAAGUGUAAUACUAAAGAACUUCUCAGUCCUGAGUAAGAUCUUUUCAUGCAGGAGUUUGUGAUUA
Pistacia vera is the source of this 1099-nucleotide long non-coding RNA. RefSeq lists it as uncharacterized. The record is from RefSeq and is a predicted model, not a curated record. Lineage: Eukaryota; Viridiplantae; Streptophyta; Magnoliopsida; Sapindales; Anacardiaceae. The transcript has 2 exons.